RNAcentral lists this ribosomal RNA (468 nucleotides) under uncultured bacterium. Its description in RNAcentral is "partial 16S ribosomal RNA". It matches the Rfam family "Bacterial small subunit ribosomal RNA", at positions 28 to 507 of the family's 1533-position model. The record is from RNAcentral.
GACGAACGCUGGCGGCGUGCUUAACACAUGCAAGUCGAACGGAAAGGCCCUGCUUUUGUGGGGUGCUCGAGUGGCGAACGGGUGAGUAACACGUGAGUAACCUGCCCUUGACUUUGGGAUAACUUCAGGAAACUGGGGCUAAUACCGGAUAGGAUCUCCUGCUGCAUGGUGGGGGUUGGAAAGUUUCGGCGGUUGGGGAUGGACUCGCGGCUUAUCAGCUUGUUGGUUGGGUAGUGGCUUACCAAGGCUUUGACGGGUAGCCGGCCUGAGAGGGUGACCGGCCAAAUUGGGACUGAGAUACGGCCCAGACUCCAACGGGAGGCAGCAGUGGGGAAUAUUGCACAAUGGGCGGAAGCCUGGUGCAGCAACGCCGUGUGCGGGAUGACGGCCUUCGGGUUGUAAACCGCUUUCGCCUGUGACGAAGCGUGAGUGACGGUAAUGGGUAAAGAAGCACCGGCUAACUACGUG